Molecule: long non-coding RNA, 595 nt
Organism: Epinephelus moara (kelp grouper)
Lineage: Eukaryota; Metazoa; Chordata; Actinopteri; Perciformes; Serranidae
Exons: 2
Source: RefSeq, a predicted model, not a curated record
CCUAGCCUUGAUGCUAACGGGACCACGAUGUAGCUGCGAGUGAAGUCAGUGACAUUUUAUGGAAGAAACACUGCUUUAUUUUCAUGUUUAUGAGUCUGUACAUGUUGGAAGUUGCUGUGAGAGAGUUCCAGCCGGCUGCGACCGGAGGAUUUGCUUUAUUUUGUUUAUACGAACAAGGACUCCGAUUGUUUUUUUUUUUUUGAAUUGCUGGAUCUGCAUUUUGGUGGGACAGCGUCGAUUCCAACCAGGGUUCCUGUCUGAGGCGAGGCAGAGUAGAGAGGAUCUGAAAUUCUCCAUCUUCAUCAUCUUCCUGAAGAUUCACGCCUGGAGCAGAUAAGAUCUAAGCUGCGCGCAUCAAGCACACAAACAUACACAUUCUACCCGGGUAGCACACAUGCACUGAAUAAACUUGGACGUACAUGGAUACAAACUGAACAGUUUGGACUGGACUUUGACGAACAUUGACAUUAGACAGCAAUAAGCUGUGAAGGGACACUUUACUUUUGUUUUUUAUUUUUAUAUUGGGAAAUUGAAUCUGAAUUGUGAUUCCACUUUUUGUUGAUUGUGAGAAUAAAUAUUGCUGUGUUGACCUUUA